Molecule: ribosomal RNA, 497 nt
Filed under: uncultured bacterium
Lineage: Bacteria
Description: partial 16S ribosomal RNA
Rfam family: Bacterial small subunit ribosomal RNA
Source: RNAcentral
GAUGAACGCUGGCGGCGUGCCUAAUACAUGCAAGUCGAGCGAACAGACGAGGAGCUUGCUCCUCUGACGUUAGCGGCGGACGGGUGAGUAACACGUGGAUAACCUACCUAUAAGACUGGGAUAACUUCGGGAAACCGGAGCUAAUACCGGAUAAUAUAUUGAACCGCAUGGUUCAAUAGUGAAAGACGGUUUUGCUGUCACUUAUAGAUGGAUCCGCGCCGCAUUAGCUAGUUGGUAAGGUAACGGCUUACCAAGGCGACGAUGCGUAGCCGACCUGAGAGGGUGGUCGGCCCCACUGGAACUUGACCACGGUCCAUGCUCCUACGGGAGGCAGCAGUAGCGCAUCUUCCGCAAUGGGCGGGAGCCUGACGGAGCGACGCCGCGUGAGUUAUGAAAGUCCUCGGUUCGUAAAACUCUUUUAUUAGUGAAGAACAAAUGUGUAAGUAACUAUGCACGUCUUGACGGUACCUAAUCAGAAAGCCACGGCUAACUACGUG